AGGGCUGUAAACUCAGCGGCAGAUUAUCUGCUUGCUUUGCAUGCAGAAGGUCCCAGGUUCAAUCUCCGGCAGCCCCU
Molecule: non-coding RNA, 77 nt
Organism: Podarcis lilfordi (Lilford's wall lizard)
Lineage: Eukaryota; Metazoa; Chordata; Lepidosauria; Squamata; Lacertidae
Source: the annotation of a GenBank genome assembly